GUUAAACAAGUGCUUGAAGGCAGUAUGCUUGGUAAAAGUCAUCGCCAUUCUCUAAUCUUGAGUACCCAGGGACACGAUACACUGCGGAAGGCUGCAGGGACCUCUGCCCAGGAAAGCCAGGAUCCAGUAUCUGCCGGAGGAGCCCCACCUUCUGCUACUAUUAUGUUCUUCAGAUGAGUAGAAGAGAGUGGGGAGGGAGAGAGCAGGAAGAAGAAAGGAAGAAUAAUGUCUUGAAAUUGUUUUCUAAGGAUAAUGGUCUCCAGCUUCGUCAAUGUUCCUGCAAAGGACAUGAUGCUGACUUUGAAGAUGCAAGCUUCCACAUCUACAGCCUCAAGGAAACAAAUUCAGCCAACCAACUGAGGGAGCUUUCCUUGUCCUGCCUCAAGAUGAGAUCACAGUCUGCCCAACACCAUGAUUUAGGCCUUGUGACACCUGGUAUGGAAGACCCAAGCUCAGAUGGAAAAGAAUGGUGUUACUGAGACCCUUCAAGAUUCCCAGUGUAAUUCAAUAAAGAAAAGGCAACACAAAGGGGUUGUAUAGAAUUCGCCACAUUAUGGACCCAUGUCAUAGAGAGAAUCCACGGUGCAUUUGUUAGCUGCAUUUAAAUGACAACACUUUCAGAUCCAAGAUUUAUUUGGGAUAAAAAUUUACCUGGAUGCAAGGCUAUUCAGAAUGAAGAUUAAUGAUAUGGUUUGGCUGUGUCCCCACCCAAACUUCAUCUUGAAUUCCCACGUGUUGUGAGAGGGACCUGGUGGGAGAUAAUUGAACCAUGGGGGCAGGUCUUUCUCAUGCUGUUCUCAUGAGAGUGAAUAAGUCUCAUGAAACCUGAUGGUUUUAUAAGGGGGAAUUUCCCUGCACAAGCUCUCUCUCUGCCUUUUGCCAUCCAUGUAAGACGUGACUUGGUCCUCCUUGCCUUCUACCAUGAUUAUGAGGCCUCCCCAGCCACGUGGAACUGUGAGUCCAUUAAACCUCUUUCUUUUGUAAA
This 985-nucleotide long non-coding RNA is filed under the name Homo sapiens (human). Its description in RNAcentral is "HSALNT0378547". Lineage: Eukaryota; Metazoa; Chordata; Mammalia; Primates; Hominidae. The record is from RNAcentral.